ACAUACGACCAUACCCACUGGAGAACUCGGGAUCCCGUCCGCUCUCCCAUAGAUAAGCCAGUGAGGGCCGGAUUAGUAGUUGGGUCGGUGACGACCAGCGAAUACCNCGGUGUUGUAUGUU
This 121-nucleotide ribosomal RNA is filed under the name Colletotrichum chlorophyti. Lineage: Eukaryota; Fungi; Ascomycota; Sordariomycetes; Glomerellales; Glomerellaceae. The record is from RNAcentral.